This is a long non-coding RNA of Xiphophorus couchianus (Monterrey platyfish), 561 nucleotides long. RefSeq lists it as uncharacterized. The record is from RefSeq and is a predicted model, not a curated record. Lineage: Eukaryota; Metazoa; Chordata; Actinopteri; Cyprinodontiformes; Poeciliidae. The transcript is spliced from 5 exons.
AGUUGACUUCGAGAGCUUUGGCGUUUUUUUCGCGUGUGUUUUGCCACCAGAUGAAGAUUUGGAUUCUGCUCUGUGGCUCUUCAGAAUCCAUCACACAACAUGUGGCUACACUUGACUGACCUGUCAGGUUUUUUUCUCUGAACAGAACCGAACCGAUGGCUAGCUGCCUGUAAGAAUAUACAACUGUGACAUCGACAGCCAGACCGUGGCGACUCAGCUGAUGACUGAGGACUCACCGGUGAACCUGGAUGUUUCCAGUUCCAAAGAGAUGAAUGGCUCUGGGACCGCUCACCAAAGCUCCAGAAACCCGGUGUUUUAGGCCUGCUGCUCCCGCAGACAUCCGCCCUCUGGUCUGUGGACACGCAGAUGGAAGAGGGAGACCAGAGUAAAGGGCGACAAUCGCUUAUUAAGGAGAAGGUAUGGGAUUUAAAAAAUACAGCUUUUCCAGAACAACAAGAACAAGAAGACUUCCUGUCUGCAGAGAACUUAGCCAAUGGAAAGCAGAGACAGAACAUGUGAGAAAAAAGCCUAAUGAUUAAAAAACAAACUGUUUCUAAAAAA